Molecule: ribosomal RNA, 425 nt
Filed under: uncultured bacterium
Lineage: Bacteria
Description: partial 16S ribosomal RNA
Rfam family: Bacterial small subunit ribosomal RNA
Source: RNAcentral
GUGAGGAAUUUUCCGCAAUGGGCGAAAGCCUGACGGAGCAAUGCCGCGUGAAGGAUGAAGGCCUAUGGGUUGUAAACUUCUUUUCUCAGAAAAGAAUUAUGACGGUAUCUGAGGAAUAAGCAUCGGCUAACUCUGUGCCAGCAGCCGCGGUAAGACAGAGGAUGCAAGCGUUAUCCGGAAUGAUUGGGCGUAAAGCGUCUGUAGGUUGUUUAAAAAGUAUUCUGUCAAAGAUUAGGGCUUAACCCUAGAUAGGCAGAAUAAACUUUUAAGCUAGAGUUUGGUAGAGGCAGAGGGAAUUCCCGGUGGAGCGGUGAAAUGCGUAGAUAUCGGGAGGAACACCAAAGGCGAAGGCACUCUGCUGGGCAAAUACUAACACUGAGAGACGAAAGCGAGGGGAGCAAAUGGGAUUAGAAACCGGGUAGUCC